Helianthus annuus (common sunflower) is the source of this 1866-nucleotide long non-coding RNA. RefSeq lists it as uncharacterized. The transcript is spliced from 4 exons. Lineage: Eukaryota; Viridiplantae; Streptophyta; Magnoliopsida; Asterales; Asteraceae. The record is from RefSeq and is a predicted model, not a curated record.
AACCAACUCCUGAAUCAACCUCUACCGUUGGAUUUGGCUGAGAUUAAAUCUCAGCCACAUAAACUCCCAAAAUCAACUGCUAUGAUGGCGGUUCUUGACAGUUACUUGCAGUUUUAGCAGGUUACCAAAUAACUCCCCACUAUCCCCUCUCCUCCCAUAUAAUUCUCGUAUAGUGGAAGAGGUUUUAGGGUUCUUUAUCCAUAUCGAACCGUCACUCACACACAUUUCACUAUCUUUUCUGAAACCCACCAGACCACUAUGUUCGCAGCCCUCCGGUGAACCACUGUGAAUCGCCAUUCCAUGUUAGUGCAAAAUCAAACUUCAGUUUGAACAAAGAAGGGAUUUGGGUGAUGAUUAUGUAAUUUCUAAGGGGGGCAAAAUCAAACACUGAUUUCAACAGAAGGAAAAAAUUAUCGCAUGUAACUCUUAUGUUGAGUUGAGAGAUGGGGACGACAACAAUAUGGCAGGUCCUAAACUAACAGAACCGACAAUUUGCUGUAAUGGGUAUCGUUUUCUAUAUCCAAGUUGAAUUGGUUGAUUUUUCGAUGGAUUUGUUUGUGGUAGUGAUGAUUUAUGCAGGUUGAUGUCUCCUUCGUGGAUUUGGUUGUAGUGGUUUUUGUUUUUUGCAGUUUUCCCAACAACGCCAUUGCUGAUUUGGUCAUCAUCCCUCCAAGUUGUUUAAUUGAUCAGAUCUUCAUCCGGCCAACAAAACUGUUCUUACUUCUUUAUCACAUGCUCACAUCCGUCUACAACUUCAUCGACAAGUUUUCUACAACUGAACUUUUCAAUCAUCUAUUGAAGCUGGUACUUUGUUGGAGAGAGUAGACGCGUUUGAUGUGAAUGGGAACUCGGGUUUGAUUUCUAAUUUGUGGACGGAUCAGAAGGUCGGUGUUUCAUUUGCACAUCUUUAUGGGUAUGCAUCAAUAUUCCUCAAGCUCAAAAAAGUAAGAGCUAGAAAAGGGUUAUCUUUUUCCUUGAAUCUGUUUAUUUAUUCGUCAAAACUUAAUACUAAUAUCUGUUUAUUUGAAGGUUCUUUGUUUUUUGGCAUGACGAAUAAGGUGUGGAGGUUGUAAUUUUCUUUUAAGUUUGUUUUGCCUCUAUAUGUACAUCUAAUCAAUGUUUUCUAUUUUAGUGUGCGACACCUAUUGGUAUACGUCUUCUACGGUGAACAUGAAUUUCCAAGUUCUAUUCCAGUAAUCAUAGAACUUUACCUAUAAGUUUAUAAUGUUGGUAUCGGAAAAUUGUUUUUUCCAGUAACAAGACAUGGUUUUCUUAAUUUGGCCCUUGGAGAUGAAACACAACCAAAGUCGACCCGUUUUUAGAUUAUCUUGUGUGUAUGCUGAUUUUAAUGUUGGUGCCCCUUUUGAAUGCAGUUACAAAUGGGGAGCGACUUGAAGAGAUCAGUUGAUGUGUAUGUAUUUCGAAAUGGGGAGUGAUUUGAAGACCUGGGUAUUAGAUAAGUUGAUGCCCGUCUUGGGAUAUUCGCAACCCGCCUUGGUUCAACAUGUGUUUACUUUAUCUAAGAAAGCUUCAUCUCCUGAUGAUGUAUAUAAUAAUCUUAAAGACAUGGGGGGUGUCAUCUUCUAACAACACACACAUUUGGUGAAGAAAUAUUCCAGAAGGUUGAAUAUAAGAGAUCUGACAUUUGUUACAGUGACUGACUGCCUGACAAAGAACGAGAGGAGUUAUAGCAUCAUCUAAAGAAAAAAAAAAGAUGCCGCCAGGGUGAUAAAAGUCUACUUUUAGUGAUCAUCAUUUAAGCAAUCUAAUUUUAAUAUGAAUUGAUUUUUGGUUUUUCAAGAAUUUAUGAAUUGAUUCCAAUUAUGAUUCCCUAAUCCUAUUUAAUAUGAAUUUAAUGUUUGGUUA